This 468-nucleotide ribosomal RNA is filed under the name uncultured bacterium. RNAcentral describes it as "partial 16S ribosomal RNA". It matches the Rfam family "Bacterial small subunit ribosomal RNA", at positions 28 to 507 of the family's 1533-position model. The record is from RNAcentral.
GACGAACGCUGGCGGCGUGCUUAACACAUGCAAGUCGAACGGAAAGGCCCUGCUUUUGUGGGGUGCUCGAGUGGCGAACGGGUGAGUAACACGUGAGUAACCUGCCCUUGACUUUGGGAUAACUUCAGGAAACUGGGGCUAAUACCGGAUAGGAGCUCCUGCUGCAUGGUGGGGGUUGGAAAGUUUCGGCGGUUGGGGAUGGACUCGCGGCUUAUCAGCUUGUUGGUGGGGUAGUGGCUUACCAAGGCUUUGACGGGUAGCCGGCCUGAGAGGGUGACCGGCCACAUGGGGACUGAUAUACGGCCCAGACUCCUCUGGGAGGCAGCAGGGGGGAACAUUGCACAAGGGGUGGAAGACUGAUGCAGUAACGCCGGGUGCGGGAUGACGGACGUAGGGUUGUAAACCGCUUUCGCCUGUGACGAAGCGUGAGUGACGGUAAUGGGUAAAGAAGCACCGGCUAACUACGUG